UACUCUAUAAUACCAUAAAAUACCAUAUUAAAAUGUUUUACGAAGUGCAAUGGCACAAAUUUGAAAGAAAAUGUGUCUGUUUUCCCUCUUCCGCUUUUUUUUCUAACCACCCCGGUGGCAUCAGUGCAGGGACUUAUCUGACAGACGUGCGCUGUUUACAGUUGGGCAGAGGAGCUAAUAGCAGAACUGGUUGUUAGUUUUGGCGUAAUUUAUCAUAAUCGUGGUAUAUUAUUGCGUUUAUGGAAACUACACAAACUCUAGCCUGUCAACAGAUCAAGUCCACAAGUUUCCUCUUGCUAUUUUGGUUCGUGAAAUGGGAUAAAUCCAAUAAGAGUGAUAGCUGAUCGCGAACGGCGAAAAACACUCCUGGAUCAGUCGGAGAUGCAGCUCGGUGAGCUGUAAACGGUAAGACCACUCGUUUUUCGUUUAUGUUUGUCAACUUUCAAGUCCGUAAGCAUUAUUCUUUGAGUAAUUUGAAGCAACGUGAUGUGUUUACUUUGGAGUAGCCGAUAGCACGGCUGCUAGCUUGUAUUAUUAAGCAUAUUAAAUAUACUUUUUUAAAGCGUGUAAAAAUGUACACAUAUGAUAAGACGGCUAGUAGCAUCAGUUUGCUAAUAUAAUAAAUGUCUUGUAUAGUUACAGCGUUGUGACUUUGUUUGCUUUGGGGUGUGUUUAUUAGACUUUGGGAGACAGAUUAUGACCCGGAGCUAAAGGCUUUCUCUCCACUGGCCUCUCGGUCAACUGUGCUUCACUUUGGCUCACAGAGUAACCUCAACUAAGAAUAUAUGCAUCAGCCCUCACUGCAUGUCUGACGGUGGACUACUGGAGUUCAUCACAGGCUCGACGAGAAUGCAGAAGUGGCCACUACAUUUGCUCUCCUUUCUAGAUCCUUCCAGCGGGUUUACAAGGAUGAAGCUGUCGGCAUCUUUUUACACAGCAUUCACAAUUUAACACACAUUAAAGACAUGAUGGUGUGGUACCCA
Non-coding RNA from Danio rerio (zebrafish), 983 nucleotides. The record is from RefSeq and is a predicted model, not a curated record. NCBI's taxonomy places the organism in Eukaryota, Metazoa, Chordata, Actinopteri, Cypriniformes, Danionidae.